Long non-coding RNA from Cydia fagiglandana, 6056 nucleotides. RefSeq lists it as uncharacterized. NCBI's taxonomy places the organism in Eukaryota, Metazoa, Arthropoda, Insecta, Lepidoptera, Tortricidae. The transcript is spliced from 2 exons. The record is from RefSeq and is a predicted model, not a curated record.
GGUUAAAUAAGAAAAUUAACCUUUAUAGCCCUUAACUCUUGUGUAUGUCUACAGGAAAGACGUAACACAAUAAUGUUUUUGACCCAUUUCUAUUUGAAGUUGUGCCCCCAACUUGCAUAUUAGAUUUUGGAUUUUUUUGUUAUUUUUCUUACGAUCCUAAAGUCAACGGUAAAAAUAUGGGUGUAGCCACUCAACCGUCCGGCCCGCGAGACUGUUUUCCUGUCAACCGUCCGGGGUUUUUUAGCGACGCACGCCCCGCGCAGCGCAUUCACAACUUUCUACAAAAAUUAUAACUACACUGCCAUCAAAAUUUUUUUAGAGCUAACUAUUUAGUUAGACUACGUUGUCGCAUCAAGAGAAAUUAGUAAGUAAUGCCGUAAUAUUCCGUUAGAUGGCUCUGAAAUCAAAUCUUUCUUCCACCCCUUUGGAUAGUAAGGUUCCCGCGGACGGUUAAGAGCAUAUUUUUUUCGGAUACUAUGCUAUCGUCGGACGGUCAAGUGGGUAGACAACUUACUCAAAAAUAUGUCCCGUAGUUCUUAAUUCACUGACAUAAGAGUUAUGGGACAUAUUUUUGAAAUGAUUUGUACACCGAUAUUUUUACCGUUGACUGUACAAGAAAAAAAGUGUCCCCAAAAUUUCAUACAAAUUUGUUGCCCGUAUUAUAACGGUCAUAGAAGCUUGUAUUGAAAUUUUGGGGACAGGUUUUUUUCUCAGUAAAACGGAGAAAGGUCGUGGUUCUGAGUAGAAAAUAUAUAAAAAUUCUCAAUUAUAACACAAAAAAUUUUGGUACAAGUUUAAAUAGAAAUGUCCAAAAAGUGAAUAGACUGGCGGCCUAGCCAAGGUGUCAAUCGCUUGCGCUUCGCCAUAGAAUUGUGUCUCUCUAUCACUCUUCCAUAUUAGUGUGACAGUGACAGUUACGUUUCGUUCGCUACGUAGCGUUAAGUGGCCCACUGAUUAACAGUCCGCCGGACGGUAUCGGCCUGACAGUUAGAACAAAAUUUUGACAGUUCCUCACAACUGACAGGCCGAUACCGUCCGGCGGACUGUUAAUCAGUGGGCCCCUUUAGCGAUUGGCAUGUUGUCUACGGGGCCUGGUGUGAUAUUGAUCGAAUUUACAAGCGGAUACGGUAUCGUAGGUAUAACGUAUAUUAUAUUGCGUCACAACACUCGUUUGGUAAUGAAUAUGCCUUUAUUCGACUAUAGACCAAAAUCAAUUCAUCGUUGAGAGCAAAAAGUUAUAGGGUAAUUCGUCAGUAACUGGCCACCCCAAACCAAAAAUGAUAAUGAUAAGAUAAAUAAGUUUUUGGCAAAAAUUUCAUUUUUGUUACAAGCUUUUAUCGCUGACUGUACUUUUCUUUCCACGGGCAACUAAUGCUCAUCGAGACAAUUCUAAAGACCCCAAACACAAUUAGGUUUCGUUGUUUUAUCACAUAGUUCCUAUGGCCACCUCCGGUCUCCAUCAUCAGAUCAGCUCGAUGACACCAUAAUAUUGCAUUGUCACCCGACUUACGUAUGUAUGCAAAAUUUCAGCUCAAUCGGAAACCGGGAAGUGGAUCAAAUGUAAUUUGCAAGAUUUGAUUACACACAGACAACGGUCAGGUGAAACUAAAUAAAAGCUUGUAAAAUAUUUUAUUCAAGCAGUGCAUGUUACAAUGCGCUCAUGAACGUCAAAUAAAACUAUACAGGCUCCAACCCUACACCUCUGCCUCGAGAAGAUUUAAAUCCCCCCCUCAAUUGGAGGAGGGAAUUGAUGUCUAUCCACCUAUAAAUACACUUAAAGUUUGUUGGCUCGUAGAAAAAGUAUUGUAUACAAUAGUGAUAUAAUCAAGCUUUUCAAUCUCGUACCUGACUUAGGCAACUCAGCAAGCUUCGUUGCCUAAACACGGUACUCGACUGAAAAGCUCUCUAUUAUAUCACGAUUGUAUAAAAUAUAGUGAUGUACCGACUAUUGAUUUGGCCGACUAAUCGGCACUCCAAUGGCCGAUUAGUCGGCCGACUAGUCGGCUAGUCGGCCAGAUCAUUAGUUUCGUAUAAUUUCAGGUUAAAAACAAUACUUUUGCUCGUUUGGUUGCGCUAUUCAUCAUAUUAGCUUGGCUAAAAGGUGUUCUCUACAGGUUCAUAGAACUAUCACAAGACUGAGCAGACCGUCAGUACAACUUGUAGGAGGUAUUUCCAGGGCUCUAUUUCCGGUACGUAGUCGCCAGUUAAGAACCUAUCCUCCGUGGUCAGCGUCUUUACGAGCAACGUGCCCUAUUUAUAAGUCUCUAAAUUUUGCAAUAACAUUAACAUUUCCCUAUUGCUCCACCAUUUAAAAAAAAACAAAACUGAAUAAUAAUAAAAUAAUUUAACUAUAGAACUUGGCCAUGAAAUUACACGCGAAACAAUUACAAGUUGAGAUCGACCUGUAGAGGAAAGCACCAGCCCACUAUCUUACGAUAUCGAUCAAACGGUCAAUUAUAUGAACAACAGUUUUCGUCUGCACCCUGAAUAGGUAUUUUGGUAAAAUAGACAUAAAACAUAUGGCAAAUAUUGACUGUUGAUUUCUUUUAUUUCUAUUUUCUUUCACUAAUAAAGUGCCGACUAAUCGGCCAUUUUUGCCGACUAGUCGCCGACUAAUCGCCGACUACAAAUGUGGCCGGAUAGUCGGCUUUCCCGACUAGUCGGCGACUAGUCGGUACAUCCCUAAUAAAAUACUAUUAUUUUAGCAUAAGGUGGCCAGUUAUUAAAACCUUAUACCUACUAAAUUGAAUUCUGUUUAUAGGUGAAUAGAAUUAAUUUUUAGUUUAGGGUGGCCAGUUACUAAAAGUGGCCAGUUACUGGCGAAUUAACCUAAUAAAUCGUAAAAACAAUUACGUUUAAUAUGGCAAUGCGUACAUUUGCCGUUUUAUUUAAAGUUGCACUAUACUUUUAUGCCACGUCGGUAUACAAGCAUACGGCCUGCCUGUUGGUAAACAGUCACCGUAGCCCAUGGACGCCUGCAGCUCCAAAACUGCUCACACUUUUCUUUAGGUUUGAAAUUUUUUAUUUUAUUUCUACUAAGAAACCUUUUUGUGGGAAACUUUCUCCUACUAAAAUCGAAAGAGCUCGUGAUUCUUCGAAAGGUCUCGUGAUUCUUCGAAAGAUCUCGUGAUUCUGAGUGGAAAUAAACAACAAAAUCCAAAAUGAGAAAAAAAGUAUAAUGUACAACUUUAAAUAAUAUCCACAUACGUCUAUAAUCUAUAGGCUACGGUGCCCGUUUACUAUUGAACGCGUAGAAUUAUUUGCCACCACAGUUUAAAAGAAUAUAAAUAUACUUAACUAACAAUUUUGUGGUCUGUAGUCGAAAAGGAAAUACCUUAUUUCAAAAAAAUCUUGCCAAAGUUUGAUUAAAAAAAUACACGCAUACUUUAGCGUGUAUGUCGUAAUUGGGCUGGCUUAAAUGGGUUUGAAAUAUAAAAUUUUAUUUUUUCCAAAGAUAUUAAAUACUCUUGUUAUUUAACUGAUUCGCAAGACCGAAGUGAUCCCAUAAGUGUUCCGUGAACAAAGUUUUGUACGGAGCAGUAAAAGCGAAAAAUAUGAAGUUUAUAUUUCAGACCUAUAUCCUUAGGCACAUUUGCACCAUCCCACUAACCCGGGGUUAAGUUGUUAAACCGUUAACCCAGUGUCAAAUUGUACUGGUAACCAUGGUAACUACAGGUUUAACCGGUUAACCCCGGGUUAGUGAAUGGUGCGAGUGGCCCUUAGUGUGACAUUCGACUUUAUAUAUUUUUGUUUGGUGCUCGUAAUAUUAGUUUUCUUUCCGAAUUGUCUGCAUUUUUCAUAGUUGUUAAUGAUCGAGUACAAUGUUUCUGGAAUAUUGUCGCGCACAGUAGGAAGAUCGCUAGAGUAUGUAGCAACGUUUAAGAUAAAAUAUUGGGGGUCGAAAGUGACACGGGUUCGAAUUUAACCCCUGGGGAUUGGAGUGAUCCCCAAAUUUUAUCCAAUUGUAAUUGUUAUUCUUUUUAGAAGUUUAGGGAUCGAUAAGACCUCCAAAAUUGUUUUGGGGAUCGAAAAGGAUCCUAAACAAUUUUACCUAAUUUUGUUAUAUUUGGGUGAAAUUUGCGGGUCGUGUAACCCCAUUUUAUUUACCAUAUUAUUAGUAGGUUAAGGAAGGUGGGUAGAUAUUUUUGAAUAAUGCAAGAGCGUGCAUUUGAAGACCGGAGUCUUGUAUCUAUUAUAAUUAUAAAUAAAUCGGAAAGAUAUUUAUAUUGAGAAAUAUAUAUUUUGAAUUUUAUAUAAGCGGGGUGGACCGGGAUUUUUUGUGUUGUGCAAUUUGUUUUCUAAUGUUUAAAAACAAAAAAUAUCCCAAAUAAAAAUACAAUGCACUUUUUGUAGCGCCCAUAGGCUAAGUUAGCGCUAACCAUCGGGUGAUCUGUAUGCUUGUUCGCAACCAGGUGGUGUAAAUAAAAUGUGUACUAAAUGAAAUUAUUUCGAGUAUUGACUCUAAAUAGAAUUUCUCUAUUAAAAAGUAAAAUGUUUAUGAAUAUUUUAAUAUUAUUCGAGUAUGAAAAACGUGAGAAAACAAUUUGCACCUGCCAGUUAUUCUUUUAAGGUUACUCUAUAGACAUGGUUCAAACAAAUUUCAAUUAAUAGUUAUUAAAAUCUAGUGUGGUCAAAAUACGUUUUCGAGCAACGGAAACUUUUUUCGCAUGCCAAUAAGGACUUUUUAUGUCGUAAAAUUUACUUAAAAUUGUCCUUAUUGACAACCGAUAACUUGUUUAAAAACUACACACGAGUCAAUAUCAAAAUUAAGUUUUAAUAACAAUACCAAACCGUUGUAUAAGUGUAUAUUAAUGUAAAAAAUAUAUAAUUUUCGUGUUAUUAUUUUGGGGAUUGAAACGACCUCCAAAAUCCUUUUGGGGAUCGAAAGAGACCCUAAACCAUUUAAGUUAACUAUAAAUCUAUGGGAUAGCCUUAAAACUACUGGCGUUGUGCGCUCUUUACUGACCAAAGCUGUGAAAUUCGAUGCAAAGAUCGUUAAUUAUAAAUAAUAUAAUGAAUACACACAUUUUAUUUACAGAUAAUACAAAUACUUUAAAAGUAGUGUUGUUAUAUUGAGCUGGCUGAAAAUAAUAGCGUACUUUUUCUUGUCUAUGACUAUGUUUUAUUUUUUUUCUUGUCAGAGGUCGAGAAGGUUAGAUUAUAUAUUAAAUAAAAUGUGUGUAUGGGUCUCGGUUCAUAUACCAAUCGGCUCACUCGGACAAAUAUUGCUUAGUUACUUAACGUUAUAAUAUGUGAUGUCCAGCGGGUAAAGGCACCUUAUGGCGGUUGCCGCUUACGCUAUUAUUAACGCCGCUCCAAUAUUAUUGCGGCGCUAUGCGACGUAAGCGCCAGCUGCCAUCAGGUACCUUUUGCCGUAGGACGUCGCAUAUAUUUGUCAUAUUUUUUAUAUUACCUAUUCACGCUUGGCUGUGACUUUAGAACUUACUAGUAUUUUUAUGUUUUUUUUUUAAAUCAUGUAGCAACAUUAUACCAAUGCCUAAGAAAAAUUUGCCUUGGACUAAACAUCAUACAUACAAUCAAAUAAUGUCGUUCAGUCACCAUCAGAUACAUGGGUGCGGAUGCUCAAUAAUAUCUGAACACUCACUCUAGCGCCUUAAAUAGAGGCGUGUUCAGAUAUUUUGUGCGCAUCUCGGCCGCUCCGAUAUAUCUGAAGGCGUCUGUACAUACUUAUAUGGGGCAUUAUCUAUGAAAAUUGACCUUAUUGUCGGUGGUGCUUACGCCGCACAGCGUCACGCUCAUAAUGAUGAACAUCGUUAAUAAUGGCGUAAGUGCCAUCAACAAUAAGGUCCCUUUUCGUAGAUAACAUCACAUAUAUAAAUAGGCCGAAAGGGUUGGUAUUUAAAUUUAAUAUGUCGUAACUUUUGAUGGUUUUUUUAUUUAUGCCCUUUUUUUUCUAUAUUUGGUGUUGGUGGCCCGUUUGUAUAUGAAUCGUGUAGGAUAGGAGGAAUAGAGUAAAGAAUGCUAGAAAUACAAUCUUUUGUUUAUAUAUUUUUUACAGCAGUGGCCAUUUUCAAAUAAAAUAAGUGGAAAAAUUA